CAAGAAAGGGAUCAAUGAAUAUUGAUCAGUACUUAAAUACAAUUAAACAACUAGCAGAUAAUCUCAAAAUUGCGGGAAAAAGCAUCCCUCACAAUGAUCUUAUUAGACAAGUGUUGGCUGGACUAGAUGAGGAGCACACUCCUAUAGUGGUUCAAAUCAACAGCAAAGACUCCAUCUCUUGGCCUGAGUUGCAAUCUAUACUGAUGACUUUUGAAAGUCGAAUUGAGCACCUUAAUACUGUGAAAAACAACCUAGCUUCAAUUAACUUGAGUCACACCUCAGCAAAUUUUGUGCACAGAUCAAAUAUCAACAGAGGAGGUAGGUCCAACUAUGGAGGAAGAAGCUACUACAAUAGAGGUGGGAGAAGCAGAGGUAGAAUCAACAUACAAAAUGAGAACAAAGGACCAUGUCAAAUCUGUGGUUUGAGCAAUCAUUCAGCAAAAAAAAUGUUUUAAUCGUUAUGAUGAAAGGUAUAUGGGCACAAGGCCUGAACAGCACUACCAGAACAACUCUUCAAGACCAGCAGCUCUUAUAGCUUCAUCAAGUACUGUAUCAGAUCCUGCUUGGUUUGCAGACUCAGGAGCCAGCAACCAUCUCAUUACUGCUGAGAAGAAGAACCUGUCUGAGGCACAUGAGUAUGGUGGUAAGGAAACUCUUGCUGUUGGUAAUGGUAACAGACUCCAUAUUUUUCAUAUUGGUACAAAU
Molecule: long non-coding RNA, 705 nt
Filed under: Olea europaea subsp. europaea
Lineage: Eukaryota; Viridiplantae; Streptophyta; Magnoliopsida; Lamiales; Oleaceae
Source: RNAcentral